This 1501-nucleotide ribosomal RNA is filed under the name Limosilactobacillus fermentum. RNAcentral describes it as "bacterial SSU rRNA". It matches the Rfam family "Bacterial small subunit ribosomal RNA". Lineage: Bacteria; Bacillati; Bacillota; Bacilli; Lactobacillales; Lactobacillaceae. The record is from RNAcentral.
GAUGAACGCCGGCGGUGUGCCUAAUACAUGCAAGUCGAACGCGUUGGCCCAAUUGAUUGAUGGUGCUUGCACCUGAUUGAUUUUGGUCGCCAACGAGUGGCGGACGGGUGAGUAACACGUAGGUAACCUGCCCAGAAGCGGGGGACAACAUUUGGAAACAGAUGCUAAUACCGCAUAACAGCGUUGUUCGCAUGAACAACGCUUAAAAGAUGGCUUCUCGCUAUCACUUCUGGAUGGACCUGCGGUGCAUUAGCUUGUUGGUGGGGUAACGGCCUACCAAGGCGAUGAUGCAUAGCCGAGUUGAGAGACUGAUCGGCCACAAUGGGACUGAGACACGGCCCAUACUCCUACGGGAGGCAGCAGUAGGGAAUCUUCCACAAUGGGCGCAAGCCUGAUGGAGCAACACCGCGUGAGUGAAGAAGGGUUUCGGCUCGUAAAGCUCUGUUGUUAAAGAAGAACACGUAUGAGAGUAACUGUUCAUACGUUGACGGUAUUUAACCAGAAAGUCACGGCUAACUACGUGCCAGCAGCCGCGGUAAUACGUAGGUGGCAAGCGUUAUCCGGAUUUAUUGGGCGUAAAGAGAGUGCAGGCGGUUUUCUAAGUCUGAUGUGAAAGCCUUCGGCUUAACCGAAGAAGUGCAUCGGAAACUGGAUAACUUGAGUGCAGAAGAGGGUAGUGGAACUCCAUGUGUAGCGGUGGAAUGCGUAGAUAUAUGGAAGAACACCAGUGGCGAAGGCGGCUACCUGGUCUGCAACUGACGCUGAGACUCGAAAGCAUGGGUAGCGAACAGGAUUAGAUACCCUGGUAGUCCAUGCCGUAAACGAUGAGUGCUAGGUGUUGGAGGGUUUCCGCCCUUCAGUGCCGGAGCUAACGCAUUAAGCACUCCGCCUGGGGAGUACGACCGCAAGGUUGAAACUCAAAGGAAUUGACGGGGGCCCGCACAAGCGGUGGAGCAUGUGGUUUAAUUCGAAGCUACGCGAAGAACCUUACCAGGUCUUGACAUCUUGCGCCAACCCUAGAGAUAGGGCGUUUCCUUCGGGAACGCAAUGACAGGUGGUGCAUGGUCGUCGUCAGCUCGUGUCGUGAGAUGUUGGGUUAAGUCCCGCAACGAGCGCAACCCUUGUUACUAGUUGCCAGCAUUAAGUUGGGCACUCUAGUGAGACUGCCGGUGACAAACCGGAGGAAGGUGGGGACGACGUCAGAUCAUCAUGCCCCUUAUGACCUGGGCUACACACGUGCUACAAUGGACGGUACAACGAGUCGCGAACUCGCGAGGGCAAGCAAAUCUCUUAAAACCGUUCUCAGUUCGGACUGCAGGCUGCAACUCGCCUGCACGAAGUCGGAAUCGCUAGUAAUCGCGGAUCAGCAUGCCGCGGUGAAUACGUUCCCGGGCCUUGUACACACCGCCCGUCACACCAUGAGAGUUUGUAACACCCAAAGUCGGUGGGGUAACCUUUUAGGAGCCAGCCGCCUAAGGUGGGACAGAUGAUUAGGGUGAAG